RNAcentral lists this long non-coding RNA (246 nucleotides) under Ursus maritimus (polar bear). Its description in RNAcentral is "lncRNA (ENSUMAG00000011417.1)". Lineage: Eukaryota; Metazoa; Chordata; Mammalia; Carnivora; Ursidae. The record is from RNAcentral.
CUCCAGGUGUUCAAGGCUGGAGGGCAGAGAACACAAUUUGGAUGGUUUUGUGAUUGGCGGCACAUCCCUGGACCCACAGUUCAGGAUUAGAGAAUUUCCAGCUGCACAGAAUGUCCUUGGAAGGCUGACCCAGACCAUCUUGAGGAGGGACAUGAUUCAUCUCCAGGAGCUGCUGGUCCACAGAGGUGGCCUGUUUCCUAUGUUAGAAGGAGCCGCUCAGCACCCAGGGAAAAGAGAGAGGGGUGA